UACGGGGGGGGCAAGCGUUGUUCGGAAUUACUGGGCGUAAAGGGCUUGUAGGCGGCCAACUAAGUCCGACGUGAAAUCCCAAGGCUUAACCUUGGAACUGCGUCGGAUACUGGAUGGCUUGAAUUCGGGAGAGGGAUGCAGAAUUCCAGGUGUAGCGGUGAAAUGCGUAGAUAUCUGGAGGAAUACCGGUGGCGAAGGCGGCAUCCUGGACCGACAUUGACGCUGAAAAGCGAAAGCUAGGGGAGCAAACGGG
This 253-nucleotide ribosomal RNA is filed under the name uncultured bacterium. RNAcentral describes it as "partial 16S ribosomal RNA". It matches the Rfam family "Bacterial small subunit ribosomal RNA", at positions 524 to 776 of the family's 1533-position model. The record is from RNAcentral.